CCAAUGAGCAAAUUUGCAAAUCUACCAGUAUACCGAUCGAGUUUGCCAUUUGGCAUGUCCAUAGUGGAGCAUAACUUACAAAUUUGCGAGUUUGCUGUGUAACCCUUCCUUCGACUCCACCAACUCAUUUCCUCUCUAACUCCAUCGGGUCAAAGCACUCCCACUUCUUCACCACACACAGAACCAACCAACACAGUUAGUCAGUCACUCUUAUCGGUCAGGAUUUGCACCUCUCUCUUACAAAGUCAUUAACUUUGACUCAGGUUUAGAGAACCUCAAAUAAAAUAAACGAAGAAGAAGAAGAAGAAAUCGAUAGAAGAAGAGAUUCAUGGCUUUCCAGGACUAAUAUGAAGAAUGUUUUGGAGAACAUGGAGAAAAGACAAAGUUUUCACUAAAUCAAUUGUAGAAUGACUUCGCCGAGAACUAACAUUUAGAUUUCCGAGUCUUCUGACUUCUGACCGUUCCAUCAUCUCGAGCCCUCUACCAUUGCGUUUGAGAUUUGUGCUCCAUCUAGCUUAUGAAUCUGCUCAGCUAUGGCGACAACCAGAGGUCAUGAACCAUUCUGGUAAUGCUCAGUUCCACUUGACUUUACUUUUUAUCUAAGGAUAUGAUUCAGGUGGCCAAUCCCUUCAUAAGUUGCUGCCACCACAUUAUAGGCCAAAACACCACAGCCAUUAGUAACAUAACUUAUAGAGAGUGUAGUAAUAUUUUGAUUGGACACCUUCCAGUUUCUUGGGAAACGUAUUUCAGUAAUCUCAUGGAUUUUGUUCAACUUGGCAGUAUCUAACUAAAGUAAUUCUUAUUCUUAUGUCUCCUUUCUUACUACAAUUUGUGCAAAAUAGAUGAAUGCAAGUUUGAAAUAAGGGUACAAUACUAAGAAUCGUCCACAUUGGUUGGAGGAGAUAUGUUUAGUCAUUGUGCACAUCAUUGAGAUCUACAUUGUCAAGUAGUUGAUCAUUUGGUGUAUUGGUAGAUUUAGGCAUCUGAGGCGCUACGCCAACAUUCAAGGCCUACGAUGAUAUCUGCAGUGAAGUCAAGGGUGGCCUAACUUUUAUUGUAGCAAAUACCAUCAGAAAGCUUACAGUUGUCAGGAGUUAAAGAAACUCUUCUGCCUUAGUGUCAUCCAUAUUUAUUGAGAAUAUUACCAUCAAAUCUUUGUUAUGCGUUCGAUUUGGCUGACUUGGCUUUUUUUCUCCCUCUCUUUAGUAGUUGAAAAAAUAUUUCAGAAAAUAAAUAGAUUUAGACACUUUUAUUUAUUUCAGAAAAUAAAUACAUUCAGUGAAGUCAAGGGUGGCCUAACUUCAAUGUUGUUGCAUCUAAUUGUAUUACAUUUUGUUGAUUGGUUAAGUAAUUUUUCAAACAAUUGUAUGAUUAUUUAUUAUUUUUAUUUUCUUUCCUUUCUUUUCGAAAUUGAACCCAACAGUUUAAUCAUCCAACACAAAAAAAAUAUCGUUUAACAAUUUCCCUUCAUUAUUGCAUCCGAAUGAACGACAAUAAGAGGCAUGAGGCAACUUGGUCAUGAUUCUCGACCUUGCACAUCUAGGGAGAGAAGAAGCUCCCGUGCUAGACUUUGCACCUAACCAUUUUUCUCAGUUCUUUCAACAAGAUGAUGGUUUCCAAAGAGAUGUAUAUCAGAUUGAGCUGUUCCUAGGAGUCGUCUAUAUGUGAAGGAGGGGAAUUCUGAAGGGACCGAUACAGUUCCUAUUGCCGAAUUUAUACUUGAUCAGAACUUGGAUCCAAAUGCAACUGCUGUGGAGAUAAUAUUUUGGUGAUCACCUUCAAGCUCCCCUUGAUACGGUAUAUUACCGAGUACGUUUCCUUGAAAAUAUAUUAGUGAUCAUAUCUGAGUUAAUCAAGCAAUCUAUUCGCAGGAGAUGGUAAAAUAAUUUGGUUAUAUUGUUCAAGAAUACUGCCGUCUGCCUUAUGAGUAGUCCUAAGAGCAGCUUCGAGAGGCAUGUUCACAGCACAGCCGAUUUUUCCGUUGUUAUUGUAUGCUUGAUAAUAAUACUCCCUCCGUCCCAUUAUUAGUUGACCUAGUCAUUUUUACAUUUUGUCUCAUUAAUAAUUGAUUUUAUAUCAUUUGAUACUCAUGUUUAUAUUCAUUAGUAGAUGUUUUAAAAUGCUUUUCAAUGAUAUAAAAUUUACGAAUA
This is a long non-coding RNA of Papaver somniferum (opium poppy), 2150 nucleotides long. RefSeq lists it as uncharacterized. The transcript is spliced from 5 exons. Lineage: Eukaryota; Viridiplantae; Streptophyta; Magnoliopsida; Ranunculales; Papaveraceae. The record is from RefSeq and is a predicted model, not a curated record.